RNAcentral lists this ribosomal RNA (468 nucleotides) under uncultured bacterium. RNAcentral describes it as "partial 16S ribosomal RNA". It matches the Rfam family "Bacterial small subunit ribosomal RNA", at positions 28 to 507 of the family's 1533-position model. The record is from RNAcentral.
GACGAACGCUGGCGGCGUGCUUAACACAUGCAAGUCGAACGGAAAGGCCCUGCUUUUGUGGGGUGCUCGAGUGGCGAACGGGUGAGUAACACGUGAGUAACCUGCCCUUGACUUUGGGAUAACUUCAGGAAACUGGGGCUAAUACCGGAUAGGAGCUCCUGCUGCAUGGUGGGGGUUGGAAAGUUUCGGCGGUUGGGGAUGGACUCGCGGCUUAUCAGCUUGUUGGUGGGGUAGUGGCUUACCAAGGCUUUGACGGGUAGCCGGCCUGAGAGGGUGACCGGCCACAGUGGGACUGAGAUACGGCCCAGAGUCCUACGGGAGGCAGCAGGGGGGAAUAUUGCACAAUGGGCGGAAGCCUGAUGCAGCAACGCCGCGUGCGGGAUGACGGCCUUCGGGUUGUAAACCGCUUUCGCCUGUGACGAAGCGUGAGUGACGGUAAUGGGUAAAGAAGCACCGGCUAACUACGUG